CCUACGGGAGGCAGCAGUGAGGAAUAUUGGUCAAUGGACGAGAGUCUGAACCAGCCAAGUAGCGUGAAGGAUGACUGCCCUAUGGGUUGUAAACUUCUUUUAUAUGGGAAUAAAACGUUCCACGUGUGGGAUUUUGUAUGUACCAUAUGAAUAAGGACCGGCUAACUCCGUGCCAGCAGCCGCGGUAAUACGGAGGAUCCGAGAGUUAUCCGGAUUUAUUGGGUUUAAAGGGAGCGUAGGUGGAUUGUUAAGUCAGUUGUGAAAGUUUGCGGCUCAACCGUAAAAUUGCAGUUGAAACUGGCAGUCGUGAGUACAGUAGAGGUGGGCGGAAUUCGUGGUGUAGCGGUGAAAUGCUUAGAUAUCACGAAGAACUCCGAUUGCGAAGGCAGCUCACUGGACUGCAACUGACACUGAGGCUCGAAAGUGUGGGUAUCAAACAGGAUUAGAUACCCCUGUAGUC
Molecule: ribosomal RNA, 460 nt
Filed under: uncultured bacterium
Lineage: Bacteria
Description: partial 16S ribosomal RNA
Rfam family: Bacterial small subunit ribosomal RNA
Source: RNAcentral